UUUCUUCGGCAGCACAUAUAUUAAAAUUGGAAUGAUACAGAGAAGAUUAGCAUGUCCCCUAUGCAAGGAUGACGUGAAUUCAUGAAACAUUCCAUAUUUUU
This 101-nucleotide small nuclear RNA is filed under the name Choloepus hoffmanni (Hoffmann's two-fingered sloth). The record is from RNAcentral. Lineage: Eukaryota; Metazoa; Chordata; Mammalia; Pilosa; Megalonychidae.